GAUGAGGUUGCCAAGUGGUUAAGGUGAUAGACUGCUAAUCCAUUGUGUUUUUCAGGCAUGGGUUUGAAUCCCAUCCUCAUCA
Molecule: transfer RNA, 82 nt
Filed under: Procavia capensis (Cape rock hyrax)
Lineage: Eukaryota; Metazoa; Chordata; Mammalia; Hyracoidea; Procaviidae
Description: tRNA-Ser (GCT) (tRNA-Ser-GCT-12-1)
Rfam family: tRNA
About the family: Transfer RNA (tRNA) molecules are approximately 80 nucleotides in length.
Source: RNAcentral